CAGCGUGUAACUUAAUAGCAAAGUACCUCCCUUACACUGAGAAGAUGUCCGUGCAACCCAGACCACCCUGA
RNAcentral lists this transfer RNA (71 nucleotides) under Diogenichthys atlanticus (longfin lanternfish). RNAcentral describes it as "tRNA-Val". It matches the Rfam family "tRNA". Rfam says of the family: Transfer RNA (tRNA) molecules are approximately 80 nucleotides in length. The record is from RNAcentral. Lineage: Eukaryota; Metazoa; Chordata; Actinopteri; Myctophiformes; Myctophidae.